RNAcentral lists this ribosomal RNA (332 nucleotides) under uncultured eukaryote. Its description in RNAcentral is "partial 18S ribosomal RNA". It matches the Rfam family "Eukaryotic small subunit ribosomal RNA", at positions 1470 to 1796 of the family's 1831-position model. The record is from RNAcentral.
CCCUUAGAUGUCCUGGGCUGCACGCGCGCUACACUGGAAGUUACGGAUUGAGAUACUACCUUGUCCGAAAUGGUCCGGGUAAUCACCUAAAAGCUUGUCAUAAUUGGAAUGGAUUAUUGUAACUAGUAAUCCUGAACGAGGAAUUCCUAGUAAGUCCCAGUCAACAGCCGGUACUGAUUACGUCCCUGCCCUUUGUACACACCGCCCGUCGCUACUACUGAUUGGACGUUUAAGCAAGAUUUUUAAACACUGACAGUGUGUAGUUCACGCUAUACUACAGUGAGAAGAAGAAGAUCGAGCUUACUUGUCUAGAGGAAGUAAAAGUCGUAACA